UUUAUAUUGCCUUAUUUUUAAUGUUUCACUCUUUCUUUUUUUCUGACAGUUUCCAUCAAGCUAGGAAUUCCGUGGGCUUAAUACCAAGGUGGAGGAUUCCACACGAAAGCACCUGCAACAAACGACCUGCACUAAACGUAUGCGCUUCUAGCAAUCACUGCUGAUUCAGCAAGGGAGCUGUCCAGGGAAGAUGGAAAGAGAUGUUGCACUAGCAGCAGCCAAGCAUCUAGGGAGCCAUCUGGGAACUGUUCCUACUGGAUGAGUCUUGA
RNAcentral lists this long non-coding RNA (269 nucleotides) under Salvator merianae (Argentine black and white tegu). RNAcentral's name for it is "lncRNA (ENSSMRG00000008831.1)". Lineage: Eukaryota; Metazoa; Chordata; Lepidosauria; Squamata; Teiidae. The record is from RNAcentral.